This 460-nucleotide ribosomal RNA is filed under the name uncultured bacterium. RNAcentral's name for it is "partial 16S ribosomal RNA". It matches the Rfam family "Bacterial small subunit ribosomal RNA", at positions 338 to 795 of the family's 1533-position model. The record is from RNAcentral.
CCUACGGGAGGCAGCAGUGAGGAAUAUUGGUCAAUGGACGAGAGUCUGAACCAGCCAAGUAGCGUGAAGGAUGACUGCCCUAUGGGUUGUAAACUUCUUUUAUAAGGGAAUAAAAUGUGCCACGUGUGGCAUUUUGUAUGUACCAUAUGAAUAAGGAUCGGCUAACUCCGUGCCAGCAGCCGCGGUAAUACGGAGGAUCCGAGCGUUAUCCGGAUUUAUUGGGUUUAAAGGGAGCGUAGGUGGAUUGUUAAGUCAGGUGUGAAAGUUUGCGGCUCAACCGUAAAAUUGCAGUUGAAACUGGCAGUCUUGAGUACACUAGAGGUAGGCGGAAUUCGUGGUGUAGCGGUGAAAUGCUGAGAUAUCACGAAGAACGCCGAUUGCGAAGGCAGCUUACUGGAGUGCAACUGACGCUGAGGCUCGAAAGUGCGGGUAUCAAACAGGAUUAGAGACCCGAGUAGUC